RNAcentral lists this transfer RNA (64 nucleotides) under Dipodomys ordii (Ord's kangaroo rat). It matches the Rfam family "tRNA". From Rfam's summary of the family: Transfer RNA (tRNA) molecules are approximately 80 nucleotides in length. The record is from Rfam by way of RNAcentral. Lineage: Eukaryota; Metazoa; Chordata; Mammalia; Rodentia; Heteromyidae.
GGUGGCUCAGUGGUAGAGCGCUCGCCUAGCAUGCACGAAGCCCUGGGUUCAAUCCCCAGGACCA